This 700-nucleotide ribosomal RNA is filed under the name Bacillus sp. KLBMP 2449. Its description in RNAcentral is "bacterial SSU rRNA". It matches the Rfam family "Bacterial small subunit ribosomal RNA", at positions 74 to 765 of the family's 1533-position model. Lineage: Bacteria; Bacillati; Bacillota; Bacilli; Caryophanales; Bacillaceae. The record is from RNAcentral.
ACCUCUUCGGAGGUCAGCGGCGGACGGGUGAGUAACACGUGGGCAACCUGCCUGUAAGACUGGGAUAACUCCGGGAAACCGGAGCUAAUACCGGAUACUAUGUCAAACCGCAUGGUUUGACAUUCAAAGACGGUUUCGGCUGUCACUUACAGAUGGGCCCGCGGCGCAUUAGCUAGUUGGUGAGGUAAUGGCUCACCAAGGCGACGAUGCGUAGCCGACCUGAGAGGGUGAUCGGCCACACUGGGACUGAGACACGGCCCAGACUCCUACGGGAGGCAGCAGUAGGGAAUCUUCCGCAAUGGACGAAAGUCUGACGGAGCAACGCCGCGUGAGUGAUGAAGGUUUUCGGAUCGUAAAACUCUGUUGUCAGGGAAGAACAAGUGCCGGAGUAACUGCCGGCACCUUGACGGUACCUGACCAGAAAGCCACGGCUAACUACGUGCCAGCAGCCGCGGUAAUACGUAGGUGGCAAGCGUUGUCCGGAAUUAUUGGGCGUAAAGCGCGCGCAGGCGGUUUCUUAAGUCUGAUGUGAAAGCCCCCGGCUCAACCGGGGAGGGUCAUUGGAAACUGGGAAACUUGAGUGCAGAAGAGGAGAGUGGAAUUCCACGUGUAGCGGUGAAAUGCGUAGAGAUGUGGAGGAACACCAGUGGCGAAGGCGACUCUCUGGUCUGUAACUGACGCUGAGGCGCGAAAGCGUGGG